GAGUUGGCCCUGGAAUUGGCAAAGGUGUCGUCGGAGGACCCGUUGGCCCUGUUGGCGGUGUUGGCGGUGUUGGAGUCGGCGUCGGUCCCGGAAUCGGUAAAGGAGUCGGCGGAGUGCCUGUUGGAGGUCCUGUCGGAGGCGCUGUUGGUGUCGGCCCUGGUCUCGGUAAGGUGUCGUCGGAGGACCCGUCGGAGGACCCGUCGGAGGACCUGUCGGAGGAGCUAUCGGUGUCGGCCCGGAAGUCGGUGGUGGUGUUGGGCCCGGCGUUGGUGUUGUUCCAGUAGGUGGCGCAAUCGGUGGAGGCUAUGGAGGUGGCGUCGGAGGAGGCUACGGAGGUGGUGUCGGCGGAGGCUACGGAGGUGGCGUCGGCGGCGUCGCAUGGGGCUGCUACUUCUAGUUCCGCUACCAGGGUGCUGGAGGUUUUGCGGACAAGGCUGCCGGUCAGGAAGCCGGUCAAGGAGCUUUGCCUACAACGUUGGCGGCUCCGACAAGAAAGUCUUCGGGCACAGCUCGUCGUACGGAGACCUCCAAAAGCUUCGGCCUGAGUGAGAGCUCAGGUUUCAACCGCGGUGAGGGUCAAAGCAAGCCACGGCAGCGCCUACGACAAGGAGGCUGCUGGGUCCGGUUCCGUGUCCCACAGUUCUGGAAAGGAGGUCGUUGUCGGCUGAAAGAUUUUCAUGUAUGGCUGUUUGUGUGCUGGUCGCCAACGCCGUUGUUCAUCUGUCCGUUACAGCUAGCAUCAUCUAUACUGUGCCAUAGUCUUCGGAGUUUCGUGCAGUAAGAAGUUACGCUUCUAAACACAAAAUAGAACGAUACCAGUCCGAAGAAUGACAAUGUACCGCAUAUUUUGUUUUGGAAUGGGAGCGCCCACAUUUGUCAAGCAUCGCGGAAGCAAGCACCAAAAAAAAAAAAGGCGGAGGUAUCCGAAAGGUAACUUCCAACAAUAAAAAUAUUUUCACAAAGAA
Molecule: long non-coding RNA, 965 nt
Organism: Rhipicephalus sanguineus (brown dog tick)
Lineage: Eukaryota; Metazoa; Arthropoda; Arachnida; Ixodida; Ixodidae
Exons: 2
Source: RefSeq, a predicted model, not a curated record